RNAcentral lists this long non-coding RNA (4084 nucleotides) under Ananas comosus (pineapple). RNAcentral describes it as "long non-coding RNA (ACOM_LNC036957)". Lineage: Eukaryota; Viridiplantae; Streptophyta; Magnoliopsida; Poales; Bromeliaceae. The record is from RNAcentral.
UAUAAUUUAUUCUUCUAAUUUACUCCGUCCGCCAUAUGCAUUUUUGUACUGCGCCCCUCAAUUUGUAAUUAUUAAAAUCACAAAUUUUUAAAAAAUUAUUUUAAAAAAUAAAAUGGAGUGAUCCAAUUCCAAACUCCCUAUAGUUGAGGCGGUGUUCUCCAUACAUUUUUUUUUUUUUCAGCCAAAAAAGCGGAAACAAGAAGAGCCUCAGCCUCAUUCGUGUCUCUCGCGGCGAUUUGUAGAGAGAGAGAGAGCGCGAUCGAGAGCGCUAGGGUUUGUGAAGGAAAGGGGAAGGAGAUAACGCGUUCUCGGAUGCGAUACGGGGAUCGAUUCCCCCCUCGAGGUGAGUACUUAUUCCGAUUCAUCGCUUCUUAUUCCGCAUUUUGUCCGCGAUUCGCGUUUGCGUGUUCGUAUAAACGGGGAAUAAGGCGUAGGCGAUCGAGAUCGGAGCUCGAUCGAUGGUUCGAAUCGCCAUAUUUAGGGUUUAGGUGUAGCCCCCGCUGUGUCGUCCUUGAGGACGACGAUAAUGGCGCACGGUGGAGCCGCUGCGUUCCGUUUGACCGUUACUGUUACCGUUAAAGGUAACGGUUAACGGAACGGUGAACGGGAAACAGCCGGGGAUUGGUUCGCCGAUGCUUCUCGAAUCGCCGGGUUUUCUCUCGGGCGGGGUGACGGGGUUAGGGGUAUUUUGGACAUUUCGUAUUUAUUAUCUGUUUUUUAGUUUUUAUUUUUUUCCACUAAAAUUAGAAAUUACUAAGUAAUUUGGAGUGAAAUUUAAUCGUAAAAUGUUUAAAUUUAAUCGAUAAAAAUAACUUAUAAUUCUGAUGUUAAUUAAACAAAAAUAGCUGGAAAAUUGAUUCAAAAUAAUUUGUAGGGUCUCAGUAUGAUUAUUAUUAUUAUUUAUUUAUUUAAGGACGGAGAAUAGAAUGAGAAAACCACGUGCGAGCCACGUGGCAAAGUGUGUAAUGGAGUUGUGGCUGGAUUCGAGGGCACGUGGCAUGCGCAUGAGAGGAAUGUGUUUAACUUUAAAAUCAUUUUUUAAAAAAAGAGAGAAAAAUUAAUGCGUGAACAACAUUAUUGAUCAUCCAAUUUUAUGAUACUUUAUUUGGCUAUCGAAAUUUAAUAUUAAUCUAAUUGAGAUAUUAAUUUUGAAAUUUUAUUUUAACAAAAAUGCUAACCAUAUUUUUAUAUUAUUUUAAACUGCUGAAUUGAUUGGAAGCUUAUCUUAAGACAAAAAUUUAUAUAAAGACUAAAUAUUAUUAGUCUGAUUAAAAUAGAAAUUUAAGUUUAGUAACUAAUUGAAAUAACUUGAAGUUUGGUGGAAUGAUCUCAUUUGAAAUACAAUGACUAGCGGUAUAACAAUUUGUUCCAAAAUUUAUUUCCAAAACAACACUUAUUGGGUAUUUAUAAAAGAAAAUAACCAUUUGAGUAUGCUAUAUUUAAAUAUAAAUUUUACACAUUUUAAUUUAAGAGUUCAUAAAUUUUUUUAAUCUUUUAGUUGAUAAGAUUAGUAAAAAACUAAUAGUUCUUGAAUAAGUGGGAUGUAUAUUUUAUAUUUGAGUUAGUUUCAUAUAUGUUCCAGUAAAUAUAGUGAAUAACAAAUAUAAUCCUACAAAGUUCAACUUUCAUAUAUUGUUUCUGCAAAAGUCCUAAUAUUUUCAAACAUAUCCAUGCCGUUAGAAUCCGUAAGAAAAAGUUAGUUAACCAUAAAUUAAAUAUUUAAUUCUAGUUAGUUUUUCACAUUUUUAUUUCUUUAUAGUAUGCUAGUAUGGCUUUUGAAGAAAUAUAUUUGUGAUGGCAAAAUUGAAAAUAUAAACGGUUCUCUAGCGGUAACAAACCAAAGGGACAUAUUUAAAAAUAUUAGACCUUUCGUAAAGACAAUAUAUAAAAGUUAAAUUUUAUAGAAAUAUAUUUGUCAUUUAGUACGUUUCCAGAGACAUAUAUGAAAUUAACCUUUUAUAUUUAGUCAGCAAGUGUAAGAUAGUAUUGCUUUUCAUAAAAUAAUAUAAUAUAAUUUUUAGCCAUUUUAAUGGGAGGGUAUUGUGGGUUACUUCAUAAGAUUAUUAUUAUUAUUAUUAUUAUUAUUGAUUUGGCUAUAGAUGUUAUUAAAUAGCCGAUGUGACUACACAUCCGACUUAACAGUUGACAUAGAUUAAUUACAUAUUUUGCAUGAUCACAUAGGACAUGAUUUUUACUGUAGUAUAGAGCUACUAUAUUAUUGAAAGCAUAGAAUAUUUGAUGUUUUUAAUUUUUUGUCUCUUAAAUAAAAAAUUAUACGAUUGGAAUGAUUGCGGUUCUCUUAAGGUUGAGUAGUACCUCAGGGUUGAGUAGUUCCUACAAAAUUAUAGUAUUAAUCCAAAUGUUAAAAAUGAUCAAAAAGGUUGAUCUAAAGGCCAAAAAGUCGGAAGCACCAGAUGUUCUAUGCGUCCGAUAGCAUAGUAGCUCUACUUCUUACUACAAUAAAUUAUAAAGAUGAUGAUAUGACCAUAUACCUCACAUGUUUGCAUAUUUGGUAUUAAUAUUAAUGAUUUAUAUCAAGUUGCUAGGGAAAAUAGACUUUACUUUAAAAUCGAUCACGAUUUUUUCCUACAUGUUUUUGGUCGAAAUGUCUCAAGCAAAACAUGCCUGCUCUGGUACUGCCCAACUGUAACUUUGAGAAAAUUCAUAUGAUGCCUAUUCGUGUUAGAUCCAUCACAUUCAUCAAUGCUAUUUAAUUUGUAAAACUUUUAAAUAGGUUAUUACGCUAUUUGUUUCACAAGAUAUUGGUAAAGGUCUAUCUCAAUUAUUAUUAUUCUCGUACUCUUCGACAGCUACAUCAAAUUACGAUGAAUGUAAAAUUUAUGAGGCUGUUGAGCUAUUGGCGCAUACCUUAGAUGAUAUAGAUUAAAUAGUUACAUUACCAAACGAUGAUAUAGAUUAAAUAAAUACACUUUUGUAAGUUUAACACAUUUACUGACUGUAGGCAACAUCUCAUUGAAGGACUAAAAUGAUUUUUUUUAAAAACACGUUUAGAGAACACUGACGCUAACUGUGAAAGUUUGUGGACUAAAAUGAAAUAGAACUUAAAAAGUUUUGUCACUAAAUGUGGUUCAAUAUGUCCCUCUCAACUACGUACAGUCUAUAGUCAUAUUUAUUUACACUUGUGUAAUGUUUAGGAUUUUUUUUUCUUUUUCUUUUUUUUUAAAUAACAGUUGCUAUCAUUAUGAGUCAUUAAUAUGUUGGCCAAUUUGUAAAGCACUUUAAGAAUGGUUCUCUCAACCAAGCAAAGCUUUCUACAUUAUAGAUAAUCGUACAUUUAUAUGAGUCCGGUUAUUUUUAUUAUUAUAUUAUUGUUGGUACCAAACUCUUAGUAUUAUCAAAUUUUUUAUCGUUAGAUCUACUCUUUAAUCAUUUUUAUUAGUUAGAUUAUAUUAUUCAACCAACCGCUUACUCAACUCUAAGUGAUUACUAUCAUCCAAACUGCACAUUAUUUUAUCCGACGGCUGAAAAUUCGCUAGUACUAACCGCUUGGUACUAUUAAUAGUAUAAUAGCAUAAUUCCAUUUAUAAUAUCGAAAGAUGAUACCGCCCAGGACAUAAAGACAAUACUCUUGUUCAUAUGUAUCCUUCAAUUCAUCUAUAAUAUAUGUUGUUGUAUAUCACUAUGUUGUUGAUAUAUAAUAUAAUUUUUUAAUUAAUUAGUCCAUGUACUCUAAAAUUAUCAUACAAAAUUAUUAAUACAUUGAUAACAUACAAAGCCAAGCCAGAUAUAUCACAGAACACCUGAUUUACAUUUUCUUUAUUAUUUUCUUAUGCAGAAGUAAUGGUCAUAUGAUUCAUUGAUAUCCUACAAAACAAAGUUGACGCUGAUGAUGAUCCACUACACAAAGCCAAACCUCUCAAUCCCCACACCCACCAACAACACUCCAUAAUAGCCACCAAUCACCAUGGCUCAUCCUUCUCCUCCUCCUCCUCCUCCUCCUCCCAAAAAACGGCCCCACUCUCCUCACCACCACCACUACCACCACCACCCAUUUCUCCUGCUAUUCAUCAUCAUGUUCCUCGUCCCCGCAUUCCUCCUCUUCCUCCUCGUCCUCUACCACAAU